GAUGAACGCUAGCUACAGGCUUAACACAUGCAAGUCGAGGGGAAACGGCGUUGAGUGCUUGCACUCUUCGGACGUCGACCGGCGCACGGGUGAGUAACGCGUAUCCAACUUUCCCAUAACUAAGGGAUAACCUGCCGAAAGGCAGACUAAUACCUUAUGUAAUCCUUUGACGGCAUCAGAUUAGGAUUAAAGAUUUAUUGGUUAUGGAUGGGGAUGCGUCUGAUUAGCUUGUUGGCGGGGUAACAGCCCACCAAGGCAACGAUCAGUAGGGGUUCUGAGAGGAAGGUCCCCCACAUUGGAACUGAGACACGGUCCAAACUCCUACGGGAGGCAGCAGUGAGGAAUAUUGGUCAAUGGGCGAGAGCCUGAACCAGCCAAGUAGCGUGCAGGACGACGGCCCUAUGGGUUGUAAACUGCUUUUGUAUGGGGAUAAAGUCAAUCACGUGUGAUUGUUUGCAGGUACCAUACGAAUAAGGACCGGCUAAUUCCGUGCCAGCAGCCGCGGUAAUACGGAAGGUUCGGGCGUUAUCCGGAUUUAUUGGGUUUAAAGGGAGCGUAGGCCGGAGAUUAAGUGUGUUGUGAAAUGUAGACGCUCAACGUCUGACUUGCAGCGCAUACUGGUUUCCUUGAGUACGCACAACGUUGGCGGAAUUCGUCGUGUAGCGGUGAAAUGCUUAGAUAAUGACGAAAGAACUCCCUAUUGCGAACGCA
This 711-nucleotide ribosomal RNA is filed under the name Prevotella melaninogenica. RNAcentral's name for it is "bacterial SSU rRNA". It matches the Rfam family "Bacterial small subunit ribosomal RNA", at positions 28 to 723 of the family's 1533-position model. Lineage: Bacteria; Pseudomonadati; Bacteroidota; Bacteroidia; Bacteroidales; Prevotellaceae. The record is from RNAcentral.